RNAcentral lists this ribosomal RNA (830 nucleotides) under Oomycota sp. RNAcentral describes it as "Oomycetes sp. partial large subunit ribosomal RNA". It matches the Rfam family "Eukaryotic large subunit ribosomal RNA", at positions 82 to 793 of the family's 3401-position model. The record is from RNAcentral. Lineage: Eukaryota; Oomycota.
AGUAACGGCGAGUGAAGCGGGAAGAGCUCAAGCUUAAAAUCUCCAUACUUGUAUGGCGAAUUGUAGUCUAUUGAGGCUGUUGUCAGCAUCGCGAUUGGGGACAAGUCCCUUGGAAAAGGGCAGCAUGGAGGGUGAUACUCCCGUCUCUGCUCCAAUUUGCGGUGUGUACGAUACGCUUUCUUUGAGUCGAGUUGUUUGGGAAUACAGCUCAAAGUAGGUGGUAAAUUCCAUCUAAAGCUAAAUAUUGGUGCAAGACCGAUAGCGAACAAGUACCGUGAGGGAAAGAUGAAAAGAACUUUGAAAAGAGAGUUAAAGAGUACCUGAAACUGUUGAAAGGGAACCGUAUCGCUUCCAGUGUUUUAUCUCGUGCAUAUUUCAUUCGCGGAGCAAUUUGCGGGUGCCCUGUGCAUGGGUGUGACGUCAGGGUCAGUUUGUAUGCUGCGGGAGAUGGUCAGUGAGGAGGUGCGUCACUUCGGUGAAAGUUAUAUCUCGCUGUCUAGUAGCCGUGGUUGAGACUGAGGUGCCUACAACAUGCCUUAAAGUUCCGCGUUGUCUCGUGUUGGUGACUGCUUUGAUAGCUUGCUAUGUCUGUGGUUCAUCAAUGCGAUCGGUGGUGUGGAUAACUUUUGCUGUUCGGGACUCUGGCGAAAUGGAGCGAUACGACCCGUCUUGAAACACGGACCAAGGAGUCUAACAUGUGUGCAAGUAUUAGGGCGUGGAAACCCAAAUGCGUAAUGAAAGUAAAUGCUGCUUAUGCAGCUUUGGUAGGAAAGGGCUGUCAAGGUCCUGGCACUAUCGACCGAUCAUGAGCCUACGGGCAAAAGAUUUGA